Molecule: long non-coding RNA, 840 nt
Organism: Daphnia magna
Lineage: Eukaryota; Metazoa; Arthropoda; Branchiopoda; Diplostraca; Daphniidae
Exons: 4
Source: RefSeq, a predicted model, not a curated record
UUCAGACGUGUAGCGUUCCCUUGUACACUCCUGUGAGGACACAAGACUGAAUAAAGCUGAUACGGGAAAUCCCGUCACGAAGUAGAUUACACCGCGACCUACUACUUUCGGUAACUAAGCCUGGAUUAUUCAGGAGCUCUCAUCUAUCUAUAUAUAUCUUACAACGACCACCUGCUAGAUAUUGUCCAUCAUUUAUGGAAGUCACCCAUCAUGAAUCAAGUGAUGAGCAAGAUUCGUCUGACAUGUUGGCAAAUUGCCUUUCAUUUCCCGAUAUACCACUAGAGGAUUUCAUACGUCAACACAAUAUUCACUGUAUGUUGAUUCUGGACUGUCUAAUCAGCAACGACAGGCGAUUUAUGCCAAACAGACUGCAGAUCCACAUAAUGACAGUAGAUUUGUUCUUUGUCAACAAGAAUCCAGCAUGGAAUUUGGACCUGAAAAUGUUAGGGCUGGAGAAUAUGUACGGUAUCCUGCACAAAAAUCCGAACACCGAUUUAAUUUUUUAAAGCCACCUAUUGGUGGGGUAAAGGGUUUUUUACUUACCCAACCCUGCCCUGUCGUGUCCGUCUAUUCCCUCUUAAAGAAAAACAAACAAAAAACCCACUAAUUCCAGGAAUUUAAAUUAAAGGGUUAUCUUAAAAAUGUAUUCAUUUAAUUUAUUGUUUAGGUGAAAUUCAUCAAAUGUAUUGGGUGUAAUUCUGAAGAAGAUGCUGUACACAGGGCAUGGGAAUUAUGCGGACUGCCCAUACCCAUUGAUGCGGACAUGCCCAUUAAAAUUUUUUAUUUAAAUUUCAAACUAAAGAUAUAUUAAAAAAUUAACACAUGAUGUAUAAUUCAAAA